GCUAAUAUGGUUUAUUAAAGAAUUUUAAUUUGUGGGAUUAAAGGAGCAUUCAAAUGUUUUUAGCA
RNAcentral lists this transfer RNA (65 nucleotides) under Scolytinae sp. BMNH 1043001. RNAcentral describes it as "tRNA-His". The record is from RNAcentral. Lineage: Eukaryota; Metazoa; Arthropoda; Insecta; Coleoptera; Curculionidae.